This 422-nucleotide ribosomal RNA is filed under the name uncultured eukaryote. RNAcentral's name for it is "bacterial SSU rRNA". It matches the Rfam family "Eukaryotic small subunit ribosomal RNA", at positions 592 to 1018 of the family's 1831-position model. The record is from RNAcentral.
CAAUAGCGUAUAUUAAUGCUGCUGCGGUUGAAACGCUCGUAGUUGGACUUUGGGGCGUGCGGCAGGGUCGGCCUUUGGGCUGUAUCCUGCAGCGUGUCCUUUUGCCGUGAUCCGCCUCCCUUUGCUUCGGCGGAGGAACCGGGGCGAUUUCGGCCGGUUACUUUGAAGAAAUUAGAGUGUUCAAAGCAGGCUAACGCCUUGAAUACAUUAGCAUGGAAUAACAGAAUAGGACUUUGGUCUUGUUGUGUUGGUUUCCGGGACUAGAGUAAUGAUUAAUAGGGACAGUUGGGGGCAUUCAUAUUAGAACGUCAGAGGUGAAAUUCUUGGAUUGUUUUAAGAUGAACUACUGCGAAAGCAUUUGCCAAGGAUGUUUUCAUUAAUCAAGAACGAAAGUUAGGGGAUCGAAGACGAUUAGAUACCGU